RNAcentral lists this unclassified non-coding RNA (255 nucleotides) under Hevea brasiliensis (rubber tree). The record is from RNAcentral. Lineage: Eukaryota; Viridiplantae; Streptophyta; Magnoliopsida; Malpighiales; Euphorbiaceae.
GUUCAAAAUACCAAUGCCUGCUAGCUGCACAAGAGGCACUACAGCAUUUUUUGUAGUUAUAUCCUGCUUAAAAUGCUCUUGUGCAAGGAGGUGAGAUAACAAUUCAGUCCCAAGUUGCUGGAUAUCUUGAGAUGGAGACUCAAGAAAGGAAAUCAGAGGCUCAAUAACCUGGCUAGGAGAAAGAUUCAGAGUUGAAAGACUUUGUGGCUUCUCUAGAAUAUUUACAAGAGUCUGCAAAGCACUGUGCUGUCCCCA